Molecule: non-coding RNA, 844 nt
Organism: Pelobates cultripes (western spadefoot toad)
Lineage: Eukaryota; Metazoa; Chordata; Amphibia; Anura; Pelobatidae
Source: the annotation of a GenBank genome assembly
CAUCUAAAUAUCACAACCUCUAUCUGUCUGUCUCUCUGUCUGUUCUAUCUAUCUAUAUCUAUUAAUAUUCUAUACUGAAACUCAAUCUCUCUAAAACUGAGCUCCUUGUCUUCUCCCCUCUUAAUACUGAUCCUCCUCUUUCACUCUCCUUUCAAGUUAUUGAUACACACAUAAGUCCAUCCUUGCAAGCGUGCUGUCUUUGCAUUAUACUUGACUCUGGACUCACAUUUGAGCCUCGCAUCUAGUAGGUCAACAAAUCUUGUCGAUUGCACCUUAAAAACAUGAUAGCAUCUGCCCCUUUCUUAUGCAAGAUACUAUCAAGGAGCUUGUCCAUGCUCUAGUAAUCUCUCCUAAUUGGUCUUCCCAGAAACCACAUUGCCCCCUCUACAGUCUGUAAUGAAUGCUGCCACCAGACUGAUUUUCCUCUCCAGUCGCUCCUCUCACACCUCUCCCCUCUGUCAGUCAUGACAUUGGCUUCCUAUAUCUUAUAUGAGUCAAUUCAAAGUACUAAUCCAUAACUAUAAAUCACUGAACAAUUCUAGCCCCUCUUAUAUCUCUUCACUAAUCCACAAGUAUUAUGUCUCUCUGCUCUGCCAAUGACUUUCUUCUGUUCACUGCUCGCAUCCUUACAGCCAACUCACGCUUGCAGGACUUCUCGCGGGUUGCGCCCUUCCUUUGGAAUAGUCUGCCUACCACCAUCAGACUCUCCCCUAGUCUUCAAUCGUUUAAAAAGUUUCUUAAGACCCAUCUAUUCAGGAAAGCUUAUGGCCUCCCAAAGUAACUCCUACGUCACAUACCUGUCCCUUGCUCUCUCCUAAAGGGCAGCACUCUACUCUCUCCUCCA